Molecule: ribosomal RNA, 253 nt
Filed under: uncultured prokaryote
Description: partial 16S ribosomal RNA
Rfam family: Bacterial small subunit ribosomal RNA
Source: RNAcentral
ACAGAGGGGGCAAGCGUUGUUCGGAAUUACUGGGCGUAAAGGGCUCGUAGGCGGCCAACUAAGUCGGACGUGAAAUCCCCAGGCUCAACCUGGGAACUGCGUCUGAUACUGGAUGGCUUGAAUCCGGGAGAGGGAUGCAGAAUUCCAGGUGUAGCGGUGAAAUGCGUAGAUAUCAGGAGGAACACCGGUGGCGAAGGCGCUCAUCUGGCCCAAUACUGACGCUGAGGCGCGAAAGCUAGGGGAGCAAACGGGA